CCUACGGGCGGCAGCAGUGGGGAAUAUUGGGCAAUGGGCGCAAGCCUGACCCAGCAACGCCGCGUGAAUGAAGAAGGCUUUCGGGUUGUAAACUUCUUUUAAGAGGGAAGAGCAGAAGACGGUACCUCUUGAAUAAGCCACGGCGAAAUACGUUACAGCAGCCUCGGUAAUACGUAGGGUGCAAGCGUUGUCCGGAUUUACUGGGUGUAAAGGGCGUGCAGCCGGGAAGAAAAGUCAGUUGUGAAAUCCCGCGGCGCAACCGCGGAACUGCAUUUGAAACUGUUUUUCUUGAGUACCGGAGAGGUCAUCGGAAUUCCUUGUGUAGCGGUGAAAUGCGUAGAUAUAAGGAAGAACACCAGUGGCGAAGGCGGAUGACUGGACGGCAACUGACGGUGAGGCGCGAAAGCGUGGGGAGCAAACAGGAUUAGAUACCCUGGUAGUC
Molecule: ribosomal RNA, 442 nt
Filed under: uncultured bacterium
Lineage: Bacteria
Description: partial 16S ribosomal RNA
Rfam family: Bacterial small subunit ribosomal RNA
Source: RNAcentral